GAGUUUCUGUAGUUGA
This 16-nucleotide transfer RNA is filed under the name Hylarana erythraea (green paddy frog). RNAcentral describes it as "partial tRNA-Glu". Lineage: Eukaryota; Metazoa; Chordata; Amphibia; Anura; Ranidae. The record is from RNAcentral.